AAAAGUAUAAGUUUGAAAUAUAUGCUAGCUCAAGUGAUCAUCCUCAAUAAGAAGAUAAAGACGGGGUAUACUUAUAUAAGAAGGCCGAGCCCACCGGCACUUAACACCAUCACAACAGCACAAGGUUAGAACCUGAAAAACAACAGGGAAUAAAACCCUGAGUAUGGAAUUACUCAGGAAGUCUUACCCGACUAAGGAAAAGACUCUCAAGGGUAUGCUGGAUAAAUAGGAAUCAAGGAGAGGCUUUAGCAAGAAUCAAUUUAGAUACUUUUGCUGAAAUAGGUUACUAAAGUGAGUCCUUACUUUCAAUCUUUUAACGCCAUAUUAAGUAUUAAUAGACUCUAUUUGCAUCUAGUCUAAUUUCAACAUCUCAUCAAUACAACAUCAUUUUUAUCCAUAGUGUUCACAUCCUGACUUUAGGUUGUAGAAAAGUGACCAAGUCUUCAUAACCGCGAAGGUACGGCGAUCCGAAUCGAUUAUACUCAGCUGAGGAUCUCCAAUCACACGACAUAUGUAGCACUUAACCCUUGCAUAUGUCAACCCGCCACCGGGGUUCUUAAGACCAGAUCAGGUUCACGCAAACCGAGAGCACAGAUACACCACCGUCCAGCCUCUUGCCACGGAGGGUACACGCUACUCUUGCCACCGCUCCACGCCCAUUUCGUGUUAUCUUAUUCUGGCCUUAGUCUGCCCGAGGCAAGGCUUACCCAUGACGAGGCAUGUGACCAGUUAAAGGGUCCUCGGUCAGCACGCCUACAUACGCAUUAAUCCUUAACCAACCUGGGUAGAACAUCACCUGUUCCUAACCCAAGUCUCAAUUUAAGUAUUUCCAUCCUUAGGAUUGUGUCUGUUCCUUAGGAUGAAAGAGCAUCACAGGGAACUUUGCAGUAAGAUCCCACUAUUGCUCCAAAUGAAAAUAUUCUUGCAGGUAGAAGCCAUCCUCUCCCGGGUUAGACUGAUGACAACCUCUAUCCACAAGAUCUAAGCAAGGCUAAGCAUUUUUGUAAAUCAUAUUUUGAUACUUCACAGAAGUAUCUAUAAAGGCAUGGAUAUCAAGGAAAGCAAUGCAUCAAAGGGUUCCAAGCAACUCCUAUGAACCUAAUGCACAUUUCACUAGACUUAAGUGUGCGAAAAGUAUUUAAAACACAAGGAAAGGGGUUGCAUGCACCGGGGCUUGCCUGAGUAACACUAGGUUAGUGUUGGUUAGGUGACGUCCGCUUGAUGAGUAUUCUUCGACCGAGCACUUGCUUGAUUUAACCAUCUUCAGGUUGAUUCAUCAGCUUCAGCUUGCAGAUUAGCCCACGCUUGGGGUCGACUUGGUUUUUCUUCCGCAUCACGUGAUUAUUUAUCGUCCUGAAUGAAAUGCAUUAUGCAUAUGAAUGCAUAUAAAGAACAAUAACACUAGAUAUUACGAUGCUACGCAAAAGAGAAAUAACCUAUUUAAUGAUGAAACAUUACGUACACUAGUUAUCGAUAUAUUGUUACUUACGACAAUCAUGUUCUUACAACCUAGCUAAACAGUCGAGGUAGCAAUCAACAUCCAUUCCAAGCAUGAGAUCGACCAACACAUAAAUUAUCAGACCUAGUCUAGAGAACACACUAAAUGACUUAUAACUUUUAACUUCACAAUUUUUGGACAUCUAAUACUUAUAAAAUUUGAUAGAAGAAUUUUUAUUAACUUUCUAAACUAAUUCACCGGUUAACCCGUAUAUUAUAUAUAUCUACCAAUAUACUUAUCGCAUAACCCUAAAAUUCAACUUAAUCUCUACAGCGAGUAAUAAACAAGAGAAUCAUCGCAAUCAAUCCUUCUAUUUAAUCCUACCAUUUAUUUAGUUGACGGGAAUAAUAAAUUAACUUACCAUAAUUAACUCGAGCUGAAGUUGUGAGGUCAACGACGAUCCUAUGGACGAGGACUCGGAUUUGAAGGGCGAUGCGGCAAAAUUAUUGGAACGGCGGAGUCGAUGACGCGAUGAGAAUUAAG
RNAcentral lists this long non-coding RNA (1981 nucleotides) under Zea mays. RNAcentral describes it as "long non-coding RNA (ZMAY_LNC001221)". The record is from RNAcentral. Lineage: Eukaryota; Viridiplantae; Streptophyta; Magnoliopsida; Poales; Poaceae.